Molecule: non-coding RNA, 636 nt
Organism: Chlorocebus sabaeus (green monkey)
Lineage: Eukaryota; Metazoa; Chordata; Mammalia; Primates; Cercopithecidae
Source: RefSeq, a predicted model, not a curated record
CGCCGGAACUAUUCACCCGCCCCGCGCCAUGACACCUACUGAGGCGGAAGUGCAGAUGAAUGGACUCUCUAGGACGACCGCAUAGUACUGAUCGCAGUGGGAGUGGGUGGGCCUCGAGUGGGUGGGCCUCCGUGGGGAGCCAGCGUGGAUCGAGUGCGGGGGCUGGGCUUCCCGCCCCCUCCGCACCGUAGACUCCGCGGUGAUUUAAAGGUGCCUGGCAGUGGUAGGGGAUCCAACUGUAAAAUGUCAUCCCAGCUAGUGUGACAUCACCACAGUCUAGUGUGACACCCCCAGAGCCUGGGCAGGAAGACAGUGCCUAACAGAGGAGCUCCACUGCCGGUGAGGGAUUACCUCAGAAACUUCCUUCUACUACUUAAAGAACUUAAAGUCCUCACAUUGGGCCGACCUGGGAAAUAUGAAGACAAAAAGAGUGGGUAAACGUGCCUGCUUGAUGAGCCAGAAAAAAAGGCAGAAACCUGUGGUCUGGGUAUAACAGAUCCUGCUCAAAAUGUAAGCUUCAAACACACUGUUUAUCAUGCCUUCGUUCAACCUAACUCUCUGACAUGUUCCUAAACUCCUGCUCUCUCAAGGCAUGUCCCUUUCCUCUUUUCAAAUAAAUCUCAGAAUUCACCUCUC